Bombyx mori (domestic silkworm) is the source of this 2019-nucleotide long non-coding RNA. RefSeq lists it as uncharacterized. The transcript is spliced from 4 exons. Lineage: Eukaryota; Metazoa; Arthropoda; Insecta; Lepidoptera; Bombycidae. The record is from RefSeq and is a predicted model, not a curated record.
CCGGUAAAAUGGGGCGAUUAGGGAUUGACAGGCGAAUCGGGAAAAAACCGGGAAAAUCUUUCGACGCUCAAUAUAAGUUUUAUAUUCGUUGCAAAAUCUUCCAUUUUUUGUAGUUUAAUAGUAGAAUGUUGAAAGUUCACAAAACAACUCUGAAUAUGCAUGAUAUUAGCUGCUAACUUAUAAAAAAUCGCGUUUCAAAUUAACUUCCUGUGGUGGUCAUUAUUUUAGUGCUAGAAACUUUGCUCUCUUUUAUUUAUUUGAUAAUAAUAGAAGACGACUAUGAUUUAUAAACGUUAUUUAGUGUUUGAACCAUCAUGUAUAUUAAAGGUAAGUCUCAGUUGUUAUUGGUUUUAAUGUAUUUGAUUAAAUAAAAAUACAUGUAAAAAUCUGUUGGUUUUGGGGUUAUUGGGGACGUCUUAGGUACAAAUAACAACGAAAAAGGGGUCAAUUGGGAUGAGAAUACGUGAAAUGGAAACGACCUAAGUAUAAAUAGGUACAGGUUUGUAGGGUUGUCUAUGUAGUUAUAACAAUAUUUUUUAAAUUUGUGGGUAAAUAUCUGGUUUAUUCGAAGCGAAAUUGGGAAUAAGUCUUUAUUUGAAAUAGAUAAGCAAUUUAAUAUAAGUAAGUCGAUUUUGCAGAGACAUGUAACAAGAUCAAUGAAAUCUCAAGGUGGACAAAAAUGUCUAAGUAAUACAUAAUAAAAUAUUUAAUAUUUGUUCAGAGUGGAGGUAUUCAUCUGAUUAAUCCAUGGAAUAACCGACACACCUAAUCUCUUAACCCAGAUAGAAAUAUCAGCACUGUCGAUUGCACCUAUAAUUGAGGUGAUGUCUGCCAUGUACUUUUGUCAGUUUUUCAAUUUUUUUUAUUGAUGAUCACUUUGUUGGUGCAACUAAAUAAAUAAAUAAAUUAAAACUAUAUAUAAAAAUAAAAGUAGUGCCAACCCUAGCAAAUUUCUCAUUUCGUCCCAAUUAACCGCAAUUUUCGGGUAAAUAGGGAUUACACCUAUUUUUGCAUUUUUUGCUUAAACUGGAAUGCUAGUUGCAUAAUUUUAAAUUAGACAACAAAGAUGCCCCCAAGACUCAAUCAUUUUGAUCCUGAUAUAGCAUUAUAUACAUCAACAACUACCUUAAAAUUGCUCAUAAAGUUGGAAUUUGUCCCUAAUCGCCCCAUUUUACGGUACUUUUUAUUCGGCGGGAAAUUAAAUCACCACAACUGUCAUUAAGAAAGUAUACCAGAAUGAAUAAUUCUACUUGGUUUACCUAUAUCGACAAAUUGAUGCACUGGCAUGCUGGUACAUGGAUCAAGAAUAAUACUAAAGCUUCGCAGUUUGUUUUAAGAAUCCACUAUGAUCAACUUUUUAUAACAACGGACGCUCAAAUUCUGGAAAGUUUGAAUAUGCAUGAUAAACUUAAAGGAAUUUAUAAAGACGAUAUUUUAAUUCUUAUUUUAAGCAACAAUCGGCAAGAGGUGAGAAAAAUAAGAUUUCAAAUAAAAGCGAACGCCGCACAUUGUUUUGAGAAGCUCAGCGAAUAUUUUCCAGUUGUAAAUCAUAUUUCAAGCCAAUCUUCGAAAUUUGUGCCUUCAAGGUAUCGUAAGAUAGAAGAAGUAUUUAAAAGUAUUUUUGAAGCAAAUAAAACCAACACAUUACACUCAGAUCAAAAAGAUUUAUUGAACUUACCAGCUUCUUAUAAGGACUUUAUCAAAAUGUGCUUGUUGGAUCCACAUUUCCCUCAAAUUGUUGAUCAAACUGAAAAACUACUUAGAGAAGAAAUUUUGAAAUAAAACUUUUUCAAUGUUUGCCUCGCCGCUACACUUAAUUGGAAUAUAAUCAAUUUAUAGUAUAUAAUAAAUAAAACUGACAAAAGUGUGUUCAUUACUUUGUACUCUUAGAACACUAGAUUAAUGAUCUUAUAAAGUGUGGCGUAGUUUUAGUGUAGGUUGAGGUUAAGUGCUAGAUUGAAAUUAAAUGAGAGUUUUAAUCUCAAUAUUACUAAUAAAUAUAAACUAAACCAAAUAAAA